This 1078-nucleotide long non-coding RNA is filed under the name Ananas comosus (pineapple). RNAcentral's name for it is "long non-coding RNA (ACOM_LNC015787)". Lineage: Eukaryota; Viridiplantae; Streptophyta; Magnoliopsida; Poales; Bromeliaceae. The record is from RNAcentral.
UCUGUAGAGUUCUUAAAUAAAAAAGGGUAAACUUCAAAUAUCCCCCUUGUGGUUCCACACUUUCUCACUUUAGUACAGUAUGGUUUAAAGUGUAUCAAGUUAGCCCCUGUGGUUUCACAUUUUCUCACUUUAGUACCUUGUGGUUUAAAGUGUAUCAAGUUAGUACAUUGUGGUUUUAUUUUUCUCUUUUUAUUAUCCGUUUCACUAAUUUUUUUUCAUUAAAUAAGCGACAAAGUUAAAAUUAAAGGGUACUAAAGUGGAUAUUCGAUAAAUCUAGGUAAGGUGUUUGAAGUUUUUUGUAAAUAAUUUAACAAAAUAUUAACGGAGGAAAAAAAAUAAGUGACAAAGUUUAAACUAAAGGUACUAAAGUAAAUAUUCGAUAAAUCUAUAUAGGGUAUCCAAAAUUUUUUUUAUAUAAUUUAACGAAAUAUUAACGGAGAAGCCGAUGAAAAGAGAAAAAUAAAACUAUAGGGUACUAAAUUGAUACAUUUUAAACCAUGCACGAGAUAUUAAAGUGAAAAAAUACCAAACCACAUGAAUGAUAUUUAAAGUUUUUUCAAUAAAAAAAAACACUCUAUUCUUAUCAUAUUUUAACUUAUCUAGGACUUUGUAAAACCAUUUGUCAAUCAUUAAAAGGGCCCGUUUGGACUAGCUUCUAAAAAAGUGAUUUUUUAAAAAGUGAUUUUGAUUUGGAGGAGUGAUUUUGAUUAAAAGCUAUAGAACGUUUGGCUGAGUUUACAUAAAAGUGAUUUUUCUGAAGUGAUUUUGAAAAGCAGUUUGACAAAUUUUUUUUGAUGUUUGCAUAAAUUAAUAUUUUCACUAAAUUUUAUUUUAAAAUAAUUUAAAAUCUAAAUUUAAAUUUGAAUUAAAAUUAAAAUUUUUAAAUUUCAAAAUUAUACAAAAUUUAAAAUUUGAUAUUUUAAUUUUAAAAAUAAUUUAAAAAUUUAAAAAUUUAAAAUUUAAAAUAAUUAUGAAAUUUAAAAUUUAAAAAUAUAAAUAUAAAUUUAAAAAUAUAAAUAAUUAUGAAGUUUAAAAUAUAAAAUAUUAAUAUUUAAAAAUAUAUUUAAAUUUUAAAUUU